CCUACGGGAGGCAGCAGUGGGGAAUAUUGCACAAUGGGCGCAAGCCUGAUGCAGCCAUGCCGCGUGUGUGAAGAAGGCCUUCGGGUUGUAAAGCACUUUCAGCGGGGAGGAAGGCGAUAGGUUAAUAACCUUGUUGAUCGACGUUACCCGCAGAAGAAGCACCGGCUAACUCCGUGCCA
This 179-nucleotide ribosomal RNA is filed under the name uncultured Pseudomonas sp. RNAcentral's name for it is "partial 16S ribosomal RNA". It matches the Rfam family "Bacterial small subunit ribosomal RNA", at positions 338 to 510 of the family's 1533-position model. The record is from RNAcentral. Lineage: Bacteria; Pseudomonadati; Pseudomonadota; Gammaproteobacteria; Pseudomonadales; Pseudomonadaceae.